Macaca fascicularis (crab-eating macaque) is the source of this 1782-nucleotide long non-coding RNA. The record is from Ensembl. NCBI's taxonomy places the organism in Eukaryota, Metazoa, Chordata, Mammalia, Primates, Cercopithecidae.
CUCUCUACUUUUCUCUGUGUCACUUAAACACACCUAAAGUUCCUGCCACUCAAACCAGAUGUACACAGCCUUCUUUUCCUCAGCAAGCUUUUUUGGGGAAUUGCAGUGUCUUUCAAUCUUUAGCUUCCUUUGAUGAGGUCAGUUGUCUCUUCCUGGCUAUCACAGAGGCUGUCAUGCUGACAUGAUACAGGAGGAUGUAGUCUUUAAUGAGUGCCUUUGGCACUACUUGUCAAUUGCUUAUUUUCCAGUGAUGUUGCAUUAAAGUAUUAAUUAACCACUAAAUUCAAGUUGACCUCUUAAUUGAGGAGGCUUUGCUUUCCUGAAGGCAGGCAGACUGACUUUCCUAACAUGAUCUGGCACUCUUGUAUGCCAACAAGUUUUGAUCAGUGUGUAAAAUGUACCUUUACUAAAACUGUUACUGUAAUAGGUUGAUUUGAGGUUGAGGAAGUCACACUGUGUUCUAGAGUGGGAUACAAGUUGAUAUGAGCAAGAGGUAAGAGGCUGGUACCAAAGAGCAGGAGCCUGGAGCAUGUGUGAAGUUUGCCUGGUGAGCAGGUGACAGGACAGGGAGAACAGCUCUGCUCAGUGAGUCAGUGACAUAGUUCCAAAGGCCACCAGAUAAGGACUAGGAGACAUUGUCUUACUGUAAGUGGUUGUGUUUUUAUUAUUGCUGACUUUACUGUUCUGGGAGUCUUUUGAUUCCUUCAAAUAAACUGCUAAGAAGUCUAGCAUUCAAAUGUAUGUUGUGAACACAAAAAGAUUGAGAACUACUGAUUUUGUGUUUUAGAAAAUAAACUAGAAGUUGACAGGUUGUUCUUCUGACUCCUUUCAGUAAUUCUCUAUACAAUUUGAGUGAGUCAUUUAACCUCUGUCCACUUGACAGGCAAGGGUGUGGUGCUUACCACUAUGUUCCUUCCAGAAUUUAAGUAGGAAAAAUUGGUAAAGCGCUCUAACUUCAUCUGAAAAAGGUAUUAUCUGUAGUUCAAAGGAAUAAAAUUAAAGAUAUGUCCUAGCACCCAGGUUUUUGGCAGUACCUGAACUACUUGAGACAAGCUGGAACUGCCAACGUUAGGUGUUCCAAUGACAAGAACACCUCAGUGCUGAGAGACAGGCUCAGGUGGCUGAAAAGGAUCCAUCUCAGUUUAAUAAAAGGAAUUGCUGAAGAACAUCUGAGUUGUGCUAGGCACCCUUGGGACAUAAGAUAAAUACUUUUGUUGAACUAAAUAGAAGUGGUCACAGCAGCAGUAAGGAGGCGGUAAGACUUGUCCAGGAUUUGUACAGAAUCUUUUCACAGGCUGAAUGUUGCUCACAAUGUGUCCUUUGACUAUCUCUGGCUAAUUAUUAUUUUAAUCUCUUCUCAGCUUUUCCACAAAUAUAAUGUCAACCAAAGAUCUUAGGCCAUUCACAACUCUUUUGUAAAAAUUAAUGUGGAUGUGAAAAUGAGGCAUCAAAUCCUGAAGUAGAAAGUUAUUCCUGGCCAGGCGCGGUGGCUCAUGCCUGUAAUCCUGGCACUUUGGGAGGCCAGGGUGGGUGGAUCAUGAGGACAGGAGAUCGAGACCAUCCUGGCUAACAUGAUGAAACCACAUCUCUACUAAAAUACAAAAAAAUUAGCUGGGUGUGGUGACGCGUGCCUGUAGUCCCAGCUACUCAGGAGGCUGAGGCAGGGGAAUUCCUUGAACCUGGGAGGCGGAGAUUGCAGUGAGACGAGAUCGGGCCACUGCACUUCAGCCUGGCAACAGAGCAAGACUCCAUCUCAAAAAAAAAAAAAAAAAAAAAAAAAAA